GAAAUUCUUGGUUGUAUUGAGACACAUGUCACAAAGCCUCAUUCUGCGAAGUAAAGAUAAAGGUUUUGGGGAAAUUGUUCUAGCUCGCCCAUAAGGCCCAAACAGCGCGAAAGCCUAAUAGAGGUGAAGGGCGACAUUCAGCGCAAAAUAGGUGGGCUCAUUUUUCUCCACCAAGCACUUAAACUCCCCCACAAAUUAUAUCCUAGUCAUCCAUAAUGAUUCGAAGAUUGACA
Molecule: long non-coding RNA, 233 nt
Filed under: Lathyrus oleraceus (garden pea)
Lineage: Eukaryota; Viridiplantae; Streptophyta; Magnoliopsida; Fabales; Fabaceae
Description: Pisum sativum (pea) long non-coding RNA (PSAT_LNC012914)
Source: RNAcentral